RNAcentral lists this ribosomal RNA (159 nucleotides) under Pyrenophora teres. RNAcentral's name for it is "5.8S ribosomal RNA". It matches the Rfam family "5.8S ribosomal RNA". Rfam says of the family: 5.8S ribosomal RNA (5.8S rRNA) is a component of the large subunit of the eukaryotic ribosome. It is transcribed by RNA polymerase I as part of the 45S precursor that also contains 18S and 28S rRNA. Functionally, it is thought that 5.8S rRNA may be involved in ribosome translocation. RNAcentral also lists the same sequence under 1 other name. Lineage: Eukaryota; Fungi; Ascomycota; Dothideomycetes; Pleosporales; Pleosporaceae. The record is from RNAcentral.
UCAACAACGGAUCUCUUGGUUCUGGCAUCGAUGAAGAACGCAGCGAAAUGCGAUAAGUAGUGUGAAUUGCAGAAUUCAGUGAAUCAUCGAAUCUUUGAACGCACAUUGCGCCCUUUGGUAUUCCAAAGGGCAUGCCUGUUCGAGCGUCAUUUGUACCCU